AUUGAACGCUGGCGGCAGGCCUAACACAUGCAAGUCGAGCGGAGCGAGGGUGCUUGCACCUUAGCUUAGCGGCGGACGGGUGAGUAAUGCUUAGGAAUCUGCCUAUUAGUGGGGGACAACAUUCCGAAAGGAAUGCUAAUACCGCAUACGCCCUACGGGGGAAAGCAGGGGAUCUUCGGACCUUGAGCUAAUAGAUGAGCCUAAGUCGGAUUAGCUAGUUGGUGGGGUAAAGGCCUACCAAGGCGACGAUCUGUAGCGGGUCUGAGAGGAUGAUCGGCCACACUGGGACUGAGACACGGCCCAGACUCCUACGGGAGGCAGCAGUGGGGAAUUUUGGACAAUGGGGGGAACCCUGAUCCAGCCAUGCCGCGUGUGUGAAGAAGGCCUUAUGGUUGUAAAGCACUUUAAGCGAGGAGGAGGCUCUUUUGGUUAAUACCCAAGAUGAGUGGACGUUACUCGCAGAAUAAGCACCGGCUAACUCUGUGCCAGCCGCCGCCGUAA
Molecule: ribosomal RNA, 501 nt
Filed under: uncultured bacterium
Lineage: Bacteria
Description: partial 16S ribosomal RNA
Rfam family: Bacterial small subunit ribosomal RNA
Source: RNAcentral